GAUGGAGCUUGCUCCAGGCGUCRAGCGGCGGACGGGUGAKUAAUGCAUAGGAAUCUGCCCGGUAGUGGGGGAUAACCUGGGGAAACCCAGGCUAAUACCGCAUACGUCCUACGGGAGAAAGCAGGGGAUCUUCGGACCUUGCGCUAUCGGAUGAGCCUAUGUCGGAUUAGCUUGUUGGUGAGGUAAUGGCUCACCAAGGCGACGAUCCGUAGCUGGUCUGAGAGGAUGAUCAGCCACAUCGGGACUGAGACACGGCCCGAACUCCUACGGGAGGCAGCAGUGGGGAAUAUUGGACAAUGGGCGAAAGCCUGAUCCAGCCAUGCCGCGUGUGUGAAGAAGGCUUUCGGGUUGUAAAGCACUUUCAGUGAGGAAGAAAGCCUUGGGGCUAAUACCCCCAAGGGACGACAUCACUCACAGAAGAAGCACCGGCUAACUCCGUGCCRGCRGCCGCGGUAAUACGGAGGGUGCGAGCGUUAAUCGGAAUUACUGGGCGUAAAGCGCGCGUAGGCGGCGUGAUAAGCCGGUUGUGAAAGCCCCGGGCUCAACCUGGGAACGGCAUCCGGAACUGUCAGGCUAGAGUGCAGGAGAGGAAGGUAGAAUUCCCGGUGUAGCGGUGAAAUGCGUAGAGAUCGGGAGGAAUACCAGUGGCGAAGGCGGCCUUCUGGACUGACACUGACGCUGAGGUGCGAAAGCGUGGGUAGCAAACAGGAUUAGAUACCCUGGUAGUCCACGCCGUAAACGAUGUCGACUAGCCGUUGGGGUCCUUGAGACCUUUGUGGCGCAGUUAACGCGAUAAGUCGACCGCCUGGGGAGUACGGCCG
Molecule: ribosomal RNA, 821 nt
Filed under: Halomonas ventosae
Lineage: Bacteria; Pseudomonadati; Pseudomonadota; Gammaproteobacteria; Oceanospirillales; Halomonadaceae
Description: bacterial SSU rRNA
Rfam family: Bacterial small subunit ribosomal RNA
Source: RNAcentral